GAGCUUACCUGGAAUGGCAAUGCCAGGAGUACAGAUGGCAAUGCCAGGAGGAGUACAGCCAGGCAUGCCAGGAGUAGGACAGAUGCCAAAACCGAAUAAAAAAUAGAGACCCCAAGGCUGGAAUAACGGAAUUGAUGGAAAUAUCUGAAUAUACUGAAACAGCAUUCUUCGUCUCUACAACAGGAACAAGAUUGUCUACUCAGUGCUUGGUGGUGGUGGUGGUGGCGUCUAGUAGAUACAAUACAUGACUUGAUUUUAAUGGUUUUCUGUAGCAGAAUAGUUUUCUGUCCUUGGUGUGGGAAAAACUUUGUGAAAUAAAA
Molecule: long non-coding RNA, 320 nt
Organism: Thamnophis elegans (Western terrestrial garter snake)
Lineage: Eukaryota; Metazoa; Chordata; Lepidosauria; Squamata; Natricidae
Exons: 6
Source: RefSeq, a predicted model, not a curated record